RNAcentral lists this unclassified non-coding RNA (395 nucleotides) under soil metagenome. RNAcentral describes it as "partial contains 5.8S ribosomal RNA, internal transcribed spacer 2, and large subunit ribosomal RNA". The stretch from base 1 to 120 matches the Rfam family "5.8S ribosomal RNA", at positions 35 to 154 of the family's 154-position model. The record is from RNAcentral.
GAUGAAGAACGCAGCGAAAUGCGAUAAGUAAUGUGAAUUGCAGAAUUCAGUGAAUCAUCGAAUCUUUGAACGCACCUUGCGCUCCUUGGUAUUCCGAGGAGCAUGCCUGUUUGAGUGUCAUUAAAUUCUCAAUCAUUAUCAACUUUUGCUGAUAAUGGCUUGGAUGUGGGGGUCUAUUUUGCUGGCUUCUCAGAUAGUUAGCUCCCCUUAAAUGCAUUAGCCGGUGCCCCGCGUGGACUGUCUAUUGGUGUGAUAAUUAUCUACGCUAUAGACAUCUGCAAUCAUAUGGGUUUGCGCUGCUUCUAACAGUCUGUUGAUUCAGACAAUACAUGACAAUUUGACCUCAAAUCAGGUAGGACUACCCGCUGAACUUAAGCAUAUCAAUAAGCGGAGGA